GAUGAAGAACGCAGCGAAAUGCGAUAAGUAGUGUGAAUUGCAGAAUUCAGUGAAUCAUCGAAUCUUUGAACGCACAUUGCGCCCCUUGGUAUCCCGAGGGGCAUGCCUGUUCGAGCGUCAUUUCACCACUCAAGCCUGGCUUGGUGUUGGGCGACGUCCCCUUUGGGGACGCGCCACGAAACGCUCGGCGGCGUGGCACCGGCUUUAAGCGUAGCAGAAUCUUUCGCUUUGGAAGUCGGGGCCCCGUCUGCCGGAAGACCUACUCGCAAGGUUGACCUCGGAUCAGGCAGGGAUACCCGCUGAACUUAAGCAUAUCAUAAGCGGAGGA
RNAcentral lists this unclassified non-coding RNA (328 nucleotides) under soil metagenome. RNAcentral describes it as "partial contains 5.8S ribosomal RNA, internal transcribed spacer 2, and large subunit ribosomal RNA". The stretch from base 1 to 120 matches the Rfam family "5.8S ribosomal RNA", at positions 35 to 154 of the family's 154-position model. The record is from RNAcentral.